UUAAAUUGAAGAGUUUGAUCAUGGCUCAGAUUGAACGCUGGCGGCAGGCCUAACACAUGCAAGUCGAGCGGAAACGAGUUAUCUGAACCUUCGGGGAACGAUAGCGGCGUCGA
This 113-nucleotide ribosomal RNA is filed under the name Vibrio parahaemolyticus. RNAcentral's name for it is "partial 16S ribosomal RNA". It matches the Rfam family "Bacterial small subunit ribosomal RNA", at positions 1 to 104 of the family's 1533-position model. The record is from RNAcentral. Lineage: Bacteria; Pseudomonadati; Pseudomonadota; Gammaproteobacteria; Vibrionales; Vibrionaceae.